RNAcentral lists this long non-coding RNA (835 nucleotides) under Anas platyrhynchos platyrhynchos (common mallard). RNAcentral describes it as "lncRNA (ENSAPLG00000027426.1)". Lineage: Eukaryota; Metazoa; Chordata; Aves; Anseriformes; Anatidae. The record is from RNAcentral.
UCUCAACUUUUAGCCCAAGCUCUAAGAAACUUGCAUAGGCCCCUACUCGAGCCUGGGUGAGUACCUGUUUUUGUUUUAUUCCUGGCUGCUUGUUAGGCAAAGAGAGAGGAGGCAGAGUACAAGAUGUAAGCUCCUACACCGUUAUUAUUCUGAAAAGUGCUAAUUCUCCACAUUUUUCCCAGAAAUAUCACAUUUAUUUAUGACCAGACAACUUUGUUUAGUAAGGAAAUUAAGGUGUCAGUUGGCUCUGUAGGCACUUGUCCAUCCCAAGGGGAGCUCCAGCAGUGAGUCAGCUUCAGCUUCUUGGCUCAUAGGCAAAUGGACUCAUUGCCUUGUGUCUUGUUGAAGCCAAGCCCAAAUGCCUUGUCCUUCAAGAAGCCAGCUGGCUGCUUCUGAGGCCCACUUUACUUUGUGUUCUCAGGGAUGUGCCGGCUGGGAGCCACGUACAGGGAAGCGCAAGCACAGAAAUGUCUCCCCAGCAUGAGCCUACUGCCUUGGGAUGGCCUGGAGUCUUCUACAAUGCAUUAGUCUCUACAGCCACAGCCAACUUCUUACCACAUCUGAAGAGUUUCAAAAAGGAAACUAGCAAGCCACCAUAGCACUGAGGUAGAACCACAACAAAACCUGGGGCAAUGGCAACUGCACGAAUGUAAGCACUUGUUUUCAUUUUCCUCUCCCUUUUUUGACUGUUGUGGGUUUCAGUGGUGGUUUCAAACUCACUUCUUAGAAGUUUCAUUUUCUUUUCUUUUUGUAGCUUGGAUUUAGAUUAAGUAUAAUGGUAGAGGAGGUAAGGCUUGAAUCAUUUCCAUGCAUCAUCACUGUCUAUAUCUUUUUU